CGACAAUCCAAUCAAAUGGCGUCAACACGCCGAUUCUGAUUACUUUUUUCCUCGCAGGAUGAGAAGAUUUGUUCAAUUGAAGCCAAGCAGGCUGAAAGAUUGCCGUUCCUGUUUUACAGCUAGGAGCAAUUCUGUGAUCAAUUACGUAUCUUCAGCAGGAAAAUACAUGGAUG
This is a long non-coding RNA of Lolium rigidum, 173 nucleotides long. RefSeq lists it as uncharacterized. The transcript has 3 exons. The record is from RefSeq and is a predicted model, not a curated record. Lineage: Eukaryota; Viridiplantae; Streptophyta; Magnoliopsida; Poales; Poaceae.